RNAcentral lists this long non-coding RNA (620 nucleotides) under Hordeum vulgare. Its description in RNAcentral is "long non-coding RNA (HVUL_LNC013901)". Lineage: Eukaryota; Viridiplantae; Streptophyta; Magnoliopsida; Poales; Poaceae. The record is from RNAcentral.
CUGAGCAUGACGUACGCGCUCUGCUGCAUGCUCCGGCGUCGGCCAGCGCAAUGGCCCAAAGCGUGUGGCGGCGUGCCGCUCGACCCACGUCAUGGCGCCGUCGAGCAGGGCCAGCAAGGUGCGCACGUCGCUGGCGCCCACGGCCAGCUCGCUGCUCGCCGACGACGAGGCAAGUGUGAUCACCCCGGGAAAUGCAUGCCAACUGUUCGAUGAAAUGCCUACAAUGAAACUCCAAAACCAUGGACACGCUCAGCCCAAUACCGCUCCAUUCCUGGUUCUGGACGAAACGUGUCUGAUUUUCAAGCACGAGGGACCAAAUGUCGAUGGAAAAAAGACGAGGGAUCAAAUGUCUGCCUCUUGUAAACUUAGAGGGACCAACAAUAUACACUUUUCUCAAAACAAAACAGUCGAACAGUUUUGUAAUAAGAAACUCAAACAAAUAUUCGUGUUUGUCUCGAUCAUGUGCAAGAAGGAUAUAUAUACAAGCAUGCAUAGAGUGGUUUUCUUGCAGAUUAACUCAGAGUUUCAUUUUUGCGCUUGUAGCAUACAUCGAAGACAAGUCGCGACUUCGGUGAAUGAAGGUCUUCGCUCAGGCUCAGUCGACCAACAUUGCUCCAUCA